AUCCAGCUGAUGAGUCCCAAGUAGGACGAAAUGUGCAUCCUGGAU
This 45-nucleotide non-coding RNA is filed under the name Trichobilharzia regenti. The record is from RNAcentral. Lineage: Eukaryota; Metazoa; Platyhelminthes; Trematoda; Strigeidida; Schistosomatidae.